This 164-nucleotide ribosomal RNA is filed under the name Taraxacum aff. japonicum LZD-2014. RNAcentral's name for it is "5.8S ribosomal RNA". It matches the Rfam family "5.8S ribosomal RNA". From Rfam's summary of the family: 5.8S ribosomal RNA (5.8S rRNA) is a component of the large subunit of the eukaryotic ribosome. It is transcribed by RNA polymerase I as part of the 45S precursor that also contains 18S and 28S rRNA. The record is from RNAcentral. Lineage: Eukaryota; Viridiplantae; Streptophyta; Magnoliopsida; Asterales; Asteraceae.
GACUCUCGGCAACGGAUAUCUCGGCUCACGCAUCGAUGAAGAACGUAGCAAAAUGCGAUACUUGGUGUGAAUUGCAGAAUCCCGUGAACCAUCGAGUUUUUGAACGCAAGUUGCGCCCGAAGCCAUCCGGUUCAGGGCACGCCUGCCUGGGCGUCAGCAUCGCG